UACGGAGGGCGCGAGCGUUAAUCGGAAUUACUGGGCGUAAAGCGCGCGUAGGCUGUUGUGUAAGUUGGGGGUGAAAUCCCACGGCUCAACCGUGGAACAGCCCUUGAUACUGCGCGACUUGAAUCCGGGAGAGGGUGGCGGAAUUCCAGGUGUAGGAGUGAAAUCCGUAGAUAUCUGGAGGAACAUCAGUGGCGAAGGCGGCCACCUGGACCGGUAUCGACGCUGAGGCGCGAAAGCGUGGGGAGCAAACAGG
Molecule: ribosomal RNA, 253 nt
Filed under: uncultured bacterium
Lineage: Bacteria
Description: partial 16S ribosomal RNA
Rfam family: Bacterial small subunit ribosomal RNA
Source: RNAcentral